CCCUUAGAUGUUCUGGGCCGCACGCGCGCUACACUGACGACGUCAACAAGUUACACCUUGCUCGAUGGAGUACGGGUAAUCUUUUGAAACGUCGUCGUGCUGGGGAUUGGCCAUUGUAAUUGUUGGCCAUAAACGAGGAAUUCCUAGUAAGCGCAAGUCAUCAGCUUGCGUUGAUUACGUCCCUGCCCUUUGUACACACCGCCCGUCGCUCCUACCGAUUGGAUGAUCCGGUGAGACCUCCGGACUGUGAUCGAAAAGCGAGUUCGCUCGCGUUUCAGUCGCAGGAAGUUGCUCGAACCUUAUCAUCUAGAGGAAGGAGAAGUCGUANCA
Molecule: ribosomal RNA, 330 nt
Filed under: uncultured eukaryote
Lineage: Eukaryota
Description: partial 18S ribosomal RNA
Rfam family: Eukaryotic small subunit ribosomal RNA
Source: RNAcentral